GGUUAAGUGAAUAAGGGCGUACGGUGAAUGCCUUGGCACUAGGAGCCGAUGAAGGACGGGACGAACACCGAUAUGCUUCGGGGAGCUGUAAGUAAGCUUUGAUCCGGAGAUUUCCGAAUGGGGGAACCUCAUUGUUUUUAUCGACAAUGGUCCACUCAGUGAACACAUAGCUGAGUGGAAGGUAGACGUGGUGAACUGAAACAUCUCAGUAGCCACAGGAAGAGAAAGAAAAAUCGAUUUCCUGAGUAGCGGCGAGCGAAACGGAAAGAGGCCAAACCAGCGUGCUUGCAUGCUGGGGUUGUAGGACUGAUGGACGGGAGUGAAUGAGCUAGUCGAACGCCAUGGAAAGGGCGAUCAGAGAGGGUGACAAUCCCGUAGGCGAAAGCUCAGCCACCUCAUUCAGUAUCCUGAGUACGGCGGUACACGUGAAAUUCCGUCGGAAUCCGCCAGGACCAUCUGGCAAGCCUAAAUACUCCCUAGUGACCGAUAGUGAACCAGUACCGUGAGGGAAAGGUGAAAAGCACCCCGGAAGGGGAGUGAAAGAGUACCUGAAACCGUAUGCCUACAAGCAGUCAGAGCCCGUUAAGGGGUGAUGGCGUACUUUUUGUAGAACGGACCGGCGAGUGACGAUAGCAAGCAAGGUUAAGCUGAAGAAGCGGAGCCACAGCGAAAGCGAGUCUGAAGAGGGCGUUGAGUUUGUUGUCGUCGACCCGAAACCAAGUGAUCUACUCAUGUCCAGGCUGAAGGUGUGGUAAAACACACUGGAGGGCCGAACCCACGUCUGUUGAAAAAGGCGGGGAUGAGGUGUGGGUAGCGGUGAAAUUCCAAUCGAACUUGGAGAUAGCUGGUUCUCUCCGAAAUAGCUUUAGGGCUAGCCUCGGAUGAUGACUAUUGGAGGUAGAGCACUGUUUGAUCGAGGGGUCCAUCCUGGAUUACCGACAUCUGAUAAACUCCGAAUGCCAAAUAGUUUAGUCCGGGAGUCAGACUGCGAGUGAUAAGAUCCGUAGUCGAAAGGGAAAGAGCCCAGACCACCAGCUAAGGUCCCAAAGUUUCAGUUAAGUGGAAAAGGAUGUGGGGUUGCUUAGACAACUAGGAUGUUGGCUUAGAAGCAGCCAUCAUUGAAAGAGUGCGUAAUAGCUCACUAGUCGAGUGACCCUGCGCCGAAAAUGUACCGGGGCUAAACUGAACACCGAAGCUGUGGAUCCGUAGGAUGGUAGGAGAGCGUUCUAUAGGCAGAGAAGCAUGAUCGUGAGGACAUGUGGAGCGUAUAGAAGUGAGAAUGCCGGUAUGAGUAGCGAAAGACGGGUGAGAAUCCCGUCCACCGAAUGACUAAGGUUUCCUGGGGAAGGCUCGUCCUCCCAGGGUUAGUCGGGACCUAAGCCGAGACCGAAAGGGAUAGGCGAUGGACAACAGGUUGAGAUUCCUGUACUUGUUUGAUUUGUUUGAGCGAUGGAAGGACACAGAAGGCUAAGCGGAGCGCGGAGAUGGAAAAACGCGUCCAAGCAAUAAGUGAGAAGGUGAGUGAAAGGCUUGCCUCAGACUUCAUGAGUUGUGACGGGGAGGGAAAUUUAGUACCGAAGCCGCCGACGUCACGCUGUCAAGAAAAGUUUCUAGUGAGAAUCAAACAACCCGUACCGCAAACCGACACAGGUAGUCGAGUGGAGAACACUAAGGUGAGCGAGCGAACUCUCGUUAAGGAACUCGGCAAAAUGACCCCGUAACUUCGGGAGAAGGGGUGCUGACCGCAAGGUCAGCCGCAGUGAAUAGGCCCAAGCGACUGUUUAUCAAAAACAUAGGUCUCUGCCAAAUCGAAAGAUGAUGUAUAGAGGCUGACGCCUGCCCGGUGCUGGAAGGUUAAGAGGAAGGGUUAGCGUAAGCGAAGCUCUGAAUUGAAGCCCCAGUAAACGGCGGCCGUAACUAUAACGGUCCUAAGGUAGCGAAAUUCCUUGUCAGGUAAGUUCUGACCCGCACGAAAGGCGUAACGAUUUGGGCACUGUCUCAACGAGAGGCUCGGUGAAAUUGUAGUACCAGUGAAGAUGCUGGUUACCCGCGACAGGACGGAAAGACCCCAUGGAGCUUUACUGUAGGUUGAUAUUGAAUGUUUGUGCCACAUGUACAGGAUAGGUAGGAGCCAUCGAAGUCGGGACGCUAGUCUCGAUGGAGGCACUGGUGGGAUACUACCCUUGUGGGAUGACCAUUCUAACCCGCGACCAUUAGCUGGUCGGGAGACAGUGUCAGUCAGGCAGUUUGACUGGGGCGGUCGCCUCCUAAAGUGUAACGGAGGCGCCCAAAGGUUCCCUCAGAAUGGUUGGAAAUCAUUCGCAGAGUGUAAAGGCAGAAGGGAGCUUGACUGCGAGACCUACAAGUCGAGCAGGGACGAAAGUCGGGCUUAGUGAUCCGGUGGUUCCGCAUGGAAGGGCCAUCGCUCAACGGAUAAAAGCUACCCUGGGGAUAACAGGCUUAUCUCCCCCAAGAGUUCACAUCGACGGGGAGGUUUGGCACCUCGAUGUCGGCUCAUCGCAUCCUGGGGCUGAAGUCGGUCCCAAGGGUUGGGCUGUUCGCCCAUUAAAGCGGUACGCGAGCUGGGUUCAGAACGUCGUGAGACAGUUCGGUCCCUAUCCGUCGCGGGCGUUGGAAAUUUGAGAGGAGCUGUCCUUAGUACGAGAGGACCGGGAUGGACACACCGCUGGUGUACCAGUUGUUCCACCAGGAGCAUGGCUGGGUAGCUAUGUGUGGACGGGAUAAGCGCUGAAAGCAUCUAAGCGUGAAGCCCCCCUCAAGAUGAGAUUUCCCAUACUUUAAAAGUAGUAAGACCCCUGAAAGACGAUCAGGUUGAUAGGUUUGGAGUGGAAGCUUAGCAAUAAGUGGAGCGGACAAAUACUAAUCGGUCGAGGACUUAUCCAA
This 2904-nucleotide ribosomal RNA is filed under the name Aerococcus tenax. RNAcentral describes it as "23S ribosomal RNA". It matches the Rfam family "Bacterial large subunit ribosomal RNA". The record is from RNAcentral. Lineage: Bacteria; Bacillati; Bacillota; Bacilli; Lactobacillales; Aerococcaceae.